CCUACGGGGGGCAGCAGUGAGGAAUAUUGGUCAAUGGGCGUAAGCCUGAACCAGCCAAGUCGCGUGAGGGAUGAAGGUUCUAUGGAUCGUAAACCUCUUUUAUAAGGGAAUAAAGUGCGGGACGUGUCCCGUUUUGUAUGUACCUUAUGAAUAAGGAUCGGCUAACUCCGUGCCAGCAGCCGCGGUAAUACGGAGGAUCCGAGCGUUAUCCGGAUUUAUUGGGUUUAAGGGGUGCGUAGGCGGCCUUUUAAGUCAGCGGUAAAAGUCAGUGGCUCAACCGUAGAAGUGCCGUUGAAACUGGGAGGCUGGAGUGUGAUUGAGGUAGGCGGAAGGCGUGGUGUAGCGGUGAAAUGCAUAGAUAUCACGCAGAACCCCGAUUGCGAAGGCAGCAUGCGAAGCCAUGACUGACGCUGAUGCACGAAAGCGUGGGUAUCAAACAGGAUUAGAUACCCUUGUAGUC
RNAcentral lists this ribosomal RNA (460 nucleotides) under uncultured bacterium. RNAcentral's name for it is "partial 16S ribosomal RNA". It matches the Rfam family "Bacterial small subunit ribosomal RNA", at positions 338 to 795 of the family's 1533-position model. The record is from RNAcentral.